CCUACGGGGGGCAGCAGUGAGGAAUAUUGGUCAAUGGGCGCAAGCCUGAACCAGCCAAGCAGCGUGAAGGAAGACGGCUCUAUGGGUUGUAAACUGCUUUUAUACGGGAAUAAAGCCCAGUAUGUAUACCGCUUUGCAAGUAUCUUACGAAUAAGGAUCGGCUAACUCCGUGCCAGCAGCCGCGGUAAUACGGAGGAUUCGAGCGUUAUCCGGAUUUAUUGGGUUUAAAGGGAGCGUAGGCGGGUUGUUAAGUUAGUUGUGAAAGUUUGGGGCUCAACCCUAGCAUUGCAUUUGAUACUGGCAUCCUUGAGUACAGUAGAGGUAGGCGGAAUUCGUGGUGUAGCGGUGAAAUGCAUAGAGAUCACGAAGAACUCCGAUUGCGAAGGCAGCCUGCUAGACUGUAACUGACGUUGAUGCUCGAAAGUGUGGGUAUCAAACAGGAUUAGAUACCCGUGUAGUC
Molecule: ribosomal RNA, 460 nt
Filed under: uncultured bacterium
Lineage: Bacteria
Description: partial 16S ribosomal RNA
Rfam family: Bacterial small subunit ribosomal RNA
Source: RNAcentral